UUUCCGUAGGUGAACCUGCGGAAGGAUCAUUAACACUAUCCAACCUAACUCAACCGAGCCUUUAGCAGCGCUGUGGCAUCCGCCUAGGCGCCGCAACAGACAUAACUAAAGGAAGCUAACUAAGCUCAAACACAAAAACCAAAUUUUCAACGAUGGAUAUCUUGGUUCCC
This 170-nucleotide unclassified non-coding RNA is filed under the name plant metagenome. Its description in RNAcentral is "partial contains small subunit ribosomal RNA, internal transcribed spacer 1, and 5.8S ribosomal RNA". The record is from RNAcentral.